Osmia lignaria (orchard mason bee) is the source of this 762-nucleotide non-coding RNA. Lineage: Eukaryota; Metazoa; Arthropoda; Insecta; Hymenoptera; Megachilidae. The record is from RefSeq and is a predicted model, not a curated record.
GUUUACGAUGAUCAUGAAUACGGUGAAUAGCACCAUUACCGCCGAAAAUAAGGAGAAUCCUGUAAGAACUAGAGUCGCCAGGAAAAUAAGGCAGAGAGACAAACCCAAGGACGUAAGCGCUUCUACCCAAAUGCUCAAGAUAGAUAGAUAGAUAGAUAGAUAGAAAUAAUAAGAAGUAACGAACCUGUAUGGAAAGACGGUUAUCUGGUUAUCGGUGAAAUUUUCUUCGUUUAUCAUCUUUGUAAUAUUUGCUGCAAUCAUUCUAGAAUACUUUAAUGAUUCGUACCAAUCCGAGGACUUUUUCAACGGAGUAUGAUAUCCCAUAAAGUAACUGUCCCCAACAUCCGUUAGUCCAUAUUUGUCAACGUAGUAAUUUAAUGCCUGUAAAUGGCGAAAAAGGAUGAUGCCGUUAAAAAUAACUACAUAAAUACUUAUCGUUAGGAUUAUGUAGUUACUUACGUCCGGAUACGCGGCUCGUCCACCUUUUGCGCAACCUUGAUCGGGAAUGUCUUGCAAAAAAUACGAUAGAUAUUUUCGAAAACUGUAAUCGUUUGGUCGGAAAGCAUCGAGGUCGAUGUCGCAUGUCUCGCAAGUAACUGGAAGAAAGAAAAGUAAUUUACUUUUGUUCACAACAACCAUUAAUCCCAGACCAGUCUAUAUAAUCGUCUAUCCAAGACGAAGCGGAUUUCGACAAAUACGAUCUGUAAAUAAAUUCUCAAAUUAGCUAAUUAGCUUAAUAAAAUACUAUAAUAGUAUACGAAC